Molecule: long non-coding RNA, 5336 nt
Organism: Pteropus alecto (black flying fox)
Lineage: Eukaryota; Metazoa; Chordata; Mammalia; Chiroptera; Pteropodidae
Exons: 4
Source: RefSeq, a predicted model, not a curated record
GACUAUGAGGCCCCAUUCCCAGAAAUUCUGCUUCAGUAGGUCUGGGAGUAAGGCCAAAGACUUUACAUUUCUAACAAGUUCUCAGGUGAUAUUGAUGCUGCCAGUUGAAGAACCCCAAAUUUUUCUUUUGAUUUCCUCUUUGACCCAUUUGUUGUUCAAGGAUGAUAUCAUGGAUGAGAUACAUCAUAUUGAUGCCAUGAAGUCAUGAAGAUAGUCACCUCCAUGAGGGCAAUGACCAUAUCUGCCUUUUUUAAUCACUGAUCUUCAUUGCCAAAUAUAAUGCUUGGAACCUGUAAUACAGAUCACAAAUGUACCUUUGAGACUUGCCGAAAUAAUGCAAUUGCAAAGAAAUACUUUAAAGAAACCACACUGAAGAGCCCAAUGAUAUCUUCUUGGACUAACGAAUCAAUUUGGUCACUCAAGAGAAGGCAGCACACCAUUUGCAGAACAGGACCACCAUGGAGCCUACAACUCUCACCCAAUCUGUCCGCUGAACCUUAGAUUCGUAAGAUCAAAUGCCAGUUGAGUGUCUCACCCUCCCUCUCUCUAUUAAAGUAGCACUAUCCACCCACUUGACCAAACCAAAAGCACUCUAGAUAUCUGACCUACUCCAAUACUGAAUUUGUUUUCAAGUGUGGGUAAUACAAUCUUUAAUCACCUCUAUUCUGAUUGGUAGAUACUCCUACUUGGAAAAGGUAUGUGGUAUGCCCAAGUUUACACAGAAGCUAAGAAGGAUAGUGAUGAUUCAAAUCCAGGUGUUAACCUAGUUUCUUCCCCUCUAUCAUUCAGAAAAAGAAAUAAAAGUUUCCUGGAGAAUGACAGCCUCCUUCUUUUUGCCACUCAUUUAAUUUCUCUGAGUUAAUUUCUCUGAACAGCAGGUUAUUUUUCUAUUUAAAAAAAAAAAAAGGAUAAUAUUUUCUCUGCUUACUUUACACUAAAAAUAAAAUCAAAUUACAUGGAAAUAAUGCUUUGUAUACUUUAAAAAUAUUUUUUCUAUCAAUUCUAAACAAACAUCCACGUAUUUAUUUUGUUACUAGAAGAGAAAGGCAGGAUCUAAUACUAUAAAUCAAACAUCGAAUCUCAAAAUGUUGACAGUUGGCAAUUUAGGAACAAAUUAGAGCCCCAAAUCAAAAAUAAAUGAAAAGCAUUUAUAAGCUACAUGAUCUGGAAAAUGGGAAGAGAGAGCAGAUUUUUAAAAAGAGAAGUAACAAUUGACAAUAAUUACAAGACAGAAAUGACGUGUUAAUAGCAUACCACAGAGAAUAGGAAUACUGGUGUUUUCAUUGGAGGAUUAUUUUUCUUAAUUUAACACAAUCUCAGUGGACUAAUGUAAAGGGGAAGGGUCUGACUGUUAAGAAGAAGGAAAAUAAGAAUAAGAAGGAAAAACACAAACAGAAAUAAAACUACAUUAUUGUGCAUUGCAAAUUCAGAGUCAAACAUAAUUCCAGAUGCAGGAUCAAACUGAUGGGAGAAUGGGCUUUCUGGGAAGGAGAAAACUAUUACUUCAUUCAAAACUGACAAACCAAAUCUCUCAGGCAAUGCAGAGGACCCUUCCCUUCUAGCAUGUUGUGGACCUCAGUUUCCAUACAAACUCCUUUAUGGCUUUCUUUGUGGCUGUUUUGCUUGGGUUACCUUUUCUUAUUUCAAUAGCCUGGGUUCAGAAUACUUGGAUUUUAAUCCCAGUUCUGCAACUAGCAAUCUAUGUAACUUCUGGCAAAUAAUAUAUUAUUCUGAAGAUUUGUGCUCAUCUAUGAAGUGGUCAUGCUAGAACCUUUCUACUGAUAUCUCAAUAUUGGCAUAGUGGUUAAAAGAAUAGAUUCUAUAGCAAGGCUGCCUGGGUUUGAAUUUUAGCUACAACGGCAGCCUUGAGCAACUGACAUAAAUUCUUUGGCCUCAGUUUCUUCAUCUGUAAAUUGAGGGUGCCUAAAGCACCUAUAUCAUUGAGUCGUUAUAGGGAUUGACUGAAUUAAUACCUCAGAUAAUUACUGAGGAAAAUCCUUAGAGCAGUGUCUGAUACUUAUUAAAUGCAUAAGCGUGUUCAUUAUUAUUGACCACAUGUGAAAGAAAUUUAAAGCUAUUAAAAGCCCUGACAAACAUGAGACAGUGAAAAGAAAAAAAAUAUUCCUCGGAUCAGUGACCUUUGGUAUAUGCCACCAUCACUUUGAUUUAUGCUGAAGCCACAUUGCGCUCCUGGGUAUUACCAGUUGAUCAAGGAAUUAAUUCUAGAGAGAGGUAGAGAGGAGAAAAACAAAACGGUGGAAAAUAUGAAUGGAAAAAGAAAAGGUUACUUGGAAGGUGUUAAAUGCUUCACUUUCUGAAGGAAGCAUUGUCAAGAAAGAAAAAAAAAAGAAAAAAGAAAAAAAAAGAAAAAGAAAAGAAAAAAAGAUGGAUUAAGCUGUGACAUCAGACUGCCUAGGUUUAUAUAGUCAGCUACGCCAUUUACAGGAGGCCGUGUGGCCUUAGGCAAGUGACUUCACCUAACUCUAAGACUACUUACCUUUUCAUAAAUAAGAAUAAUGAUAAAUAUUUAGCUAUUGGAUUUCACGAAGAGUAAAUGAAAUACCUACUUAGAACACUAUUGAACACUUAUCACAGCAACUAUUAGUAGAUAUUAUUCCCAACUCUGAAAUAUGCCAAAUAUUGCUCAUGGUAUUAUACAGGUAAACUAUUAAAAGUCUCAGUACAACCAGCUGAAGAGAACAGAGCUAAGUAAAUCUCUUGAUUUACCUGGAAACCAAGAGCUAAUGAGAAACAGAGCUAGGACUCAAAUCCAACUCUUUCUGGUUCCCAAGGCGCAUGCUCCACUGCCUCCCAAAGUAAUGGCCAAGUGCAAAUCACAUUCUUUCUACUGCAUAGGACAUUGCUUAACACCCCCAAAUAGAACUUAUGCAUACAUUAAAGAGAUGCAGCAUUUUUUAUGAGCCCAGGUUGUUGUUUUAAAGCCAAAUUCGAACAGCGAAUAAAAAUCAAAGCAACUAUGAUUUAUUCACUGCUGGGUACUCUACAUACAUCAUAUCUGCAUCAUCACUGUUAUUAUUUUAUUGAUUACAUGUUAUUAGUCUGCUUCUGUGCUAAUGUUUUCUAUCUGUGCUUUUCAAAUAUUGAACUGAAUAAGAAUCACUGGGAGACCUUGUUAAAAUGCAGAUUCUGAUUCAGUAGGUCUAGGCAUAGCCUGUGAUUCUAUAUUUAUAAUCAGCUCCCAGCUAAUACUAAUGCUGCUAUUUUGUAAACCUUAAUGGGAUUAGCAAGAUUUUAUAGGAUUUUCUUAUUCAAUCCUUACAUUCAUGUUGUUACAAAAAAUUAGAGGCACUACUGAGCUCAUUUUACUGAAGAAGAGACUGAGGCUCAAAGAGUUUAUGUGUCCUGCCUCAGGAUAGAGUGAAUAGGAGACAGAACCAGAAUUCGAUUUGUCAUGCAUGUAUUUAUAUACAUGGUAGUAUAUAAAUAAUCUGCUUAAUGAUUUAGCAUUUAAACUUUUCACAUUUAUUUUACAAAUUUCCAUUAGACAAGUAUUCAUAUGUAUUUUUGAAAAUCUAAUUGGACAUCAAAAGAUGAUAAACAUACAUUGUUGCCCUCUAUAAAACCAGUCUAAUUGGAAGCAAGAGAGAUAAACAAGUUCUUAAAAGAUAAUAUGAAGAUAAUCAGUGCUGAAAGGGCGCAGAAAAUCAAGGACUUCAAUAAGGUCUCAUGGGAGAUACAACUGGUACAGCCUUUCUGUUCUAGUCAAGAUUUUACCAAGUGGACAUACCGUUUGUAAAGCCGACAAUAACUACAAGGACAGUGCUGUGGUGGGAUGAAACAGCCACUGUCAGAAAUGUAAUAUCUGAGGGUGUUCAGAAUGAUACUGCAAAUAAGAGGCAGGAACUCUUCUCUCUGCCUGACCGGGGUUGGAAAGCUCUGCACAGAUGUGAUCUCUCAGAGCUAGAAGAUUGAGUAGGAUUCCUUUAGAAGGCAAAGAGAGGAAAAAGUACUCAAGAUUAGAGGAACAAUUUAGGCAUAUCACUGUGAUUUAGAGAAAACCAAAUGAACAGAUAUGGGUCCUGUCUGCUCUCAAGAGCUCCCAAGCGAUGUGAGAAGCCAAUUCACACAUUAGAGAAUUCAUGACUAAAAGCAAGCAAUGUAGGUGUUUAGCGGAGUAAUGUGGAUUUGGACAAGUACUUUUCUGGGUAAGAGUAUUUAGUUCUUUCUACAGGGGUUCUCGUUUUUCCUCAGCCCAACACAUGUGAAUGACAGAACACAUUUCAUCAUAAUAGUGACAUGGAAAGGUAGUAAUUCACGAGGAAUUUGGGGGCUGGGCAUGUCGGUUUCCUCUUGAUAACUCCUUCCACAGAAAGACAUUCUAGAAGUGAAUUCUUGAGGAGUAUUGAGUACAAAAGGUUGGCUGGAAAAGCUAUUUGGUUUGUAGAAGUUUAUAGGAUUUAUGCUGAGUGAAAAAUUGGCAUCAGGUCCCUCUCCAACACUAGAUCCCUCUCCAAGAGUAACCAUGAAUAAUACAUAUGAAAUCCUCUUUGAUUCCCCAAAUUGCCUACCCAUUUUAUUGUUGUAUUCAAAUAAAUUAUAACGUAAAUGUAAUUUAAAGAUAAAAAUGUUAAAAAAGAUCAUUUUUCUUCUACCAAUUUAACUUUAUAUACUCUAUAUUGAUUCUUUGUUCAUAAGCAUUUAUUUUUUAAAAUAGUAAUAAUAUGUAUAUAUUCUGUUCAUAGAUUUUUAUUAACAUUAUAGAUACAUAUUUCCAUGUAAAAACAUAGUCCAUAAUUGAAAUUUUAAUGACUGCAUUAUAUUUCACUGAAUUAAUAUAUCAUAUUUUCCCAGUUGUUAGACAUUUAAGCUGCAAUGAGUAACAUGAUAUAUAUCUUUUUACAUUUAAAAAGUUUAUUUCUCUAUAAUAAAUUCCCCAGAGACAAACUGAGUCAAAGAUGAUAAUCAUUUUUGUCUCUCAAAAAGGCCAGCUUUCCAUGACCAUUUACCACAUGUGUAUAACCAGUUUUAUCACAAUGUCACUAGUACUUGGUAUUAUUGUUUUAAAUAAAACAUUUCCUAAUUUUAAAGAAUGUAAAACUUGGACUUGCUAUGGUGUGAUUUUUAAGGUCUUUAAUUACAAGGGCUAGUGAAUCUUUUAUUUUGUGUUAGUGUAGAGCUUAUGAGAGCUUAUUAGGUUACAGGCUUCUGCAUGCUUGUAUACUUGGGCAAGUUGUUUAAUUUAUUUAUACUUCUUAUCCAUGGAAUGGGGAUAAUAAUAGUGUUUAACUGUUUAGAUUGUUGUGAGAUUUAAAAAGUUAAUACAUUUUAAAGCACCUAGAAUGUUGCCUGGUACACAAUAAACUCAACAUAUGUUA